ACUUUUUCAAAAAUAAAAAUCAGAGUAACUAUAACUUAUAAAUUUCAACAUGAUAGUUCAAUUCAUUUUUGUCUCAUCUUCAUGCCAAGUCAUUUUUUUUUUUUAGUUCUUACCGGGUCAAAGUAAUAAUUAUUUUUUAAAUAUUCCUGCCCCUUACCGUGAAAAUCAAAUAGUUGGCCCAUUUUUUUUAGCUCCCCUUAUGAUGUUUUUCUGAAGAAAAAAAUCCCACCAGAUCUACCGUACUACGCAAUCAUAAUCGUCAUUGUUUGAAGUUUUGAACUUAUUUUGUCAUCAACAAUUCUUAAAAUCUUUUGAUGAAGAUUAUUGCAACAGAUAUGAGACUUGAUUGACGUAUUGAUCAAUGUUAACAGUUAAUCCGUUUGAAGUCAGGUCAGUGUAGCGUGAAGCAUUUAAAAACGAAGUGGCGUUUCUUUUUGGGCUCAUAUUGUAUCUACUCGUCAAGCAAAAUCAUGUGGGAAGAAGAAUUUGCCAAGUUUCUACAGAGGUAUGCUUAAAUGUGUAAAUAUAAAUGAAAUAGAGUGAGGGCAUAUAAACAUACAAUAGUACAUAUUAUUAUUAUUUUCCGUUUUUCCUUUUUAUAAUUUUUUAUUUCUCUUUCGUAGUGCGGGUUAAGAUAAGAUUUAGAUAAGAUAAGACUUUAUUGGUUUAAAAUCCCAAUUUUUUUUAUUAAUCAUGGAACCAGACCGAACAUCCUUACCUUGGUCUAUUUAGGUCACAGAGAGAUAAAUACUAAGCGCGGAUAAAAUUUUCAAUUGAAACAAGAAAAUAUGAUGCACAAAGAAAUACAAUACUCAUUUGCAUACUUGGAAACAAACAAACAAGAAUUCGACGACAUAAACUUCAUUGCAGUACCAGGACUUUGUCAGUGUGUUCGAUACGCAAUGAUUAUAAAUUUUACGGGUUUCAUUUCUUAAUUUUUGCG
Molecule: long non-coding RNA, 943 nt
Filed under: Mytilus galloprovincialis (Mediterranean mussel)
Lineage: Eukaryota; Metazoa; Mollusca; Bivalvia; Mytilida; Mytilidae
Source: RNAcentral